CAGACGGACGGACGGACGGACGCACAACGUAGGCCAAGUGGUGUUUUGCUCUUCUCCAGGGCCCUUCAGGCAGGGAUCUCGAGCCAGUAAAGCUGCCGCAUAAGCCGCAUACUUAACUGCUCUGCUGGAUGAGGCCAGGCUGCUCAGAAGCUGGCAGGAUCAAGGCUCCGUGUCCUGUUUCCCCAGCUGAUGACAGUGCCUGCAGCUCUGGCCCAUAAAACCUGAGCUCAGUGCAGGUCUUUGGUAGGAUGGGGGUGGGUUAAAGAGGUCCCUGCAGUACGCUAGUUCUUGCACGGUUCUUAGGGAGGAUUUCUCUUUGGCGUAAUUUAUUUUGAGGGAGUGUUUCAAGAUGGGCUGGGGGGGGGGAACUCAGAUGAAAUCCCAUAUUCUGACCAUAGAUUUUUUGCCUGAACAAGUACAAUGAGAGCUUAUUGCAGAUGGAGACCGUGGGAGGUGAUGCCAGGAGAAAACUCCCACCCUAAAAUCUGCAUAAAGCUAAUAAUAUCUUUUUUCUUUGACUAGCCACCUCCUCCUCCACUUCCCUGCUGGUCACAGACACCCUGGCUCAGAGCAUCACACCCGUACACCAAUGCACACAAACAAAACCUGUGUGUUUUAUGCACCGACUCACCAACUGGUGAAACUUGAAGCAGGACAGCUGAAAUAAAACAUUCAAUAUUAGCCCGUUAAAAAUCCAGGAGGGUCUUUCUGUAAAUCAACUGUCUCCUGGUUUGCCCCAAAUAGCGCAGUGUCCUUCUCAUACUGUGCCUAUCCUUGUGACGUCCCAGAAGCCACACAGCAACUCGCCUGGCUAGUAUUUAGAUGGGAGUCCUCCAAGAGCUUCGGGUUGUUGAGAAACAAGUAUUGGAGGUUCGGGUGUACAGCUGCAAGAGGUCUAUGUGAUGGCUCUGGGCAGGGUGACGUGCAGGCAGAAGACACCCCGCACAAGGCAGGUAUGGAGAAACUUGAUGAAAACAAAAGUCUUUUUGGGUCUGUCAGAACUGAAAAUGUUGCAGCUGAAAGUGGCAGGGGAACAGAAACAAUUUCUGCCUUUACCUUUUUCUCCUGUGGAUGGAUGUGUAUGCGACCAUGGGACUGUGAUGGCCCAUCUGUGAGCUCCCUUUGCACGUCAGCCUGAGCUGCAGCGUUUUCUCUUCCUGGCUUAACUCCCCCAGCCCUGGCUGCCUGCCCAUCACUGGCUGGCUGUGGGCAGGUUUGAGCAUCCUCUGCAAAAUCCUUUGGACCUUCAGCUUCCAGAGAUGUCAGUAGCAUCUGAUGACGGCAAGCACGUUGUGGGAAUACCUGGGCAUCAUGCAGCAUCUGUCCCUCAAUAAAACUACUUUCAUCUUGGCAGGGAAGUCUGGAUUAUGCAACACAUCUUGGCUUCUUAAUCAUGAUUUUCCAGCCUUGCUUCCCACCCACUGUGCCUGGGAUUACACCUGUCUUAGUGUGCAUGUUCUGCAUUGCUAUGUUCCAGCUUGGAUACACUCCCUUAAAAACAAUUACUUCAUGUGGCAGGUCUAGUUAACACCCCUUUGCAGCUCUCGAGCUGCCUCUGACCCUGCAGAUGCUAAGUGUUAGCAGUUGUGCUCUAGUUGCUGUAAUUCUCAUUACCUCAGUGCAGACAAGACCUGUUUGCAUCUUGAAAGCUUGAAAAUCUUUUAGGGGGAUCAGCUAUGGAGGGUUUGAUGAUGGUGGUAGUUGGUUUAUUUCUUCCCAACGAUGCUGAGUGCCAGUAUCUGCCAAUUGCUUCAUCGCAGCUAUGUGAGAUGGGCACCCGUGGAAGCUCGGCCAACUUUUUGCCCUUUACCACCCCACUGAAGUCAUCGCCAAAUAUAAAGCCAGGCUCUUGUGGAUUUUCUUCUCGGUUUCAGAUGUGAAGGUGACCAGCUGUUGAUUGAGUGUUGCAGAGAUCUUUGGAGAACAGUAUGCAUUCGUCGUGGAGAUGAAGGGCUAAAUUCAGACCAUUUGUGUUCUUGGCAUGAUGCUCGUCCUCAUCGGCUCUGUGUUUGCUUUAGAAGUCUGAGUAGCUGACAUGCCCCGUCCGCCAGCUAAUGCCGAUUAAUUCUGACUCUCUUCAGGCUUCAAGAAAACAGAUUGUGGAGGGGUUUUCAUCACACGGGGAAUUAAAGAAGCUAGCAAAGUAUCUUAACCCGAACCACAUCACCCAUUGCUUUCAGUCAAGGAGGAGGACAGAUGAGAUUAACCUCGAAACCCCCUCGGCUUCCUUGUGGGGACUGUAAACCACAGUGCCAAGUGAGAGAAGAAUGCAGGAAGAGGAUGAUUUUUACGUGGACAUGUAAAGAACUGGACGUAGACCACCGAACCCUUCCCACAUUGGCCACUGAACAGUCAUCAGAGGGUGUUGACUUUUGACCACUACUGUUUUUGUUAACAGGGAAAAUAAAACCAUAUGUUGCUUAAGUAGA
Falco peregrinus (peregrine falcon) is the source of this 2429-nucleotide long non-coding RNA. RefSeq lists it as uncharacterized. NCBI's taxonomy places the organism in Eukaryota, Metazoa, Chordata, Aves, Falconiformes, Falconidae. The record is from RefSeq and is a predicted model, not a curated record. The transcript has 4 exons.